RNAcentral lists this long non-coding RNA (281 nucleotides) under Elaeis guineensis (African oil palm). RNAcentral's name for it is "long non-coding RNA (EGUI_LNC014826)". Lineage: Eukaryota; Viridiplantae; Streptophyta; Magnoliopsida; Arecales; Arecaceae. The record is from RNAcentral.
GCCCGUAACAAUCUGAGCGCAUUGCAUCUGGCGAUGGUGGCCUGCUCGAUGGAAGGAAAAGAAGAGGAAAAUAGGGCAAGCCCUAUCCUCCAAAAAUCCAGUGAAUCAUCGGUCAAUGCUAGACGAUAAGCAAGGCUUGGGAUUGAAGAAGGGAAGGAGAGAGACAUUAGAGAUCCUUACCUCAUCUCCAACGAGAAAUCGAUGGCGAUUCAUCGAGGAACACUUGACAAAAAUUGGUAGAAAUCGCACAGCUUUGCCGGCGAUUGGCUGUGGAUUUGAGC